GACGAACGCUGGCGGCGUGCUUAACACAUGCAAGUCGAACGAAGUGGCGAACGGGUGAGUAACGCGUAAUCAACCUGCCGUUCAGAGGGGGACAACAGUUGAAAACGAAUGCAAAUACCGCAUAGUGACUGGGGGGAUUGCGUGGGAUUGGCUAGUUGGAGGGGUAACGGCCUACCAAGGCGAUGAUCAGUCGCCGGUCUGAGAGGAUGAACCGCCAAAAUGGGAAUUGGACACGGCCCAGAAUCCUACGGGAGGGAGCAGUGGGGAAUCUUCGGCAAUUGAGGAAAGGCUGACGGAGGAAAGCCGCGGGAGUGAUGACGGCCUUCGGGUUGUAAAGGUCUGUUAAUCGGGACGCGGUACCGGAAUAGAAAGCCACGGCUAACUACGUGCCAGCCGCCGCGGUAAUAC
RNAcentral lists this ribosomal RNA (408 nucleotides) under uncultured bacterium. Its description in RNAcentral is "partial 16S ribosomal RNA". It matches the Rfam family "Bacterial small subunit ribosomal RNA", at positions 28 to 526 of the family's 1533-position model. The record is from RNAcentral.